This 253-nucleotide ribosomal RNA is filed under the name uncultured bacterium. Its description in RNAcentral is "partial 16S ribosomal RNA". It matches the Rfam family "Bacterial small subunit ribosomal RNA", at positions 524 to 776 of the family's 1533-position model. The record is from RNAcentral.
UACGUAGGGUGCAAGCGUUGUCCGGAAUUAUUGGGCGUAAAGAGCUCGUAGGCGGUCUGUCGCGUCUGCUGUGAAAACUCGGGGCUUAACCCCGGGCCUGCAGUGGGUACGGGCAGACUAGAGUGCGGUAGGGGAGACUGGAAUUCCUGGUGUAGCGGUGAAAUGCGCAGAUAUCAGGAGGAACACCAGUGGCGAAGGCGGCUUCCUGGACACCAACUGACGCUGAGACGCGAAAGCGUGGGGAGCAAACAGG